UUACAUCACGUCUCAAACUUUCUGCUGGCUGUCGUAAAUAUGGUUUGGGAAACUUGUUUUCGCGUAAAAAUUUAAAAUAUAUCCGUGUGGAAUAGUCCAAAUAUAGAUAUAAAUGGGACAUGUGGUUAAGCUGUGUUCAUGUGGUCUAUUAAAGAAUGGUUUUAAAGAAGUUGUCAGUUGAUGCCUACACCAUCUGCUUGGGUUGAAGUGGAGCAAGCCAAAAAUGAAUAAAAAUGGACAAAUAUACUGUUGGCAGCAAUUGAGUUAGAAACACACCAGGAAUCAUCCGUCUUCGGCUAGCAAGGAAAAUAAAGACAAACAACUUGAUCUGGCUAAAUGAUAAAAGAAUGUGUAAGGCAGAGCAGAGCAGCAAAGAUAGUGAAAAGGAAUGCUAUGUGCAAACAGAUGAAGGAUGAAAUUAUGAAAAAAUGGCAUGCAAAGGAAAAAUAAUAAUUGAACUUGAUAAGUGUUCUUCUUUAAAUGUUAGCCAAAUUGUUUUUUUUAAUUGUAUACGUAAAUAUGUGUAUGUAUUUAAAAUGAUUAAC
RNAcentral lists this long non-coding RNA (545 nucleotides) under Dendronephthya gigantea. RNAcentral's name for it is "uncharacterized LOC114541351". Lineage: Eukaryota; Metazoa; Cnidaria; Anthozoa; Malacalcyonacea; Nephtheidae. The record is from RNAcentral.